AUUGAACGCUGGCGGCAGGCCUAACACAUGCAAGUCGAACGGUAGCACAGAGAGCUUGCUCUCGGGUGACGAGUGGCGGACGGGUGAGUAACGUCUGGGAAACUGCCCGAUGGAGGGGGAUAACUACUGGAAACGGUAGCUAAUACCGCAUAACGUCGCAAGACCAAAGUGGGGGACCUUCGGGCCUCACACCAUCGGAUGUGCCCAGAUGGGAUUAGCUAGUAGGUGGGGUAAUGGCUCACCUAGGCGACGAUCCCUAGCUGGUCUGAGAGGAUGACCAGCCACACUGGAACUGAGACACGGUCCAGACUCCUACGGGAGGCAGCAGUGGGGAAUAUUGCACAAUGGGCGCAAGCCUGAUGCAGCCAUGCCGCGUGUAUGAAGAAGGCCUUCGGGUUGUAAAGUACUUUCAGCGGGGAGGAAGGCGGUGAAGUUAAUAACUUCACCGAUUGACGUUACCCGCAGAAGAAGCACCGGCUAACUCCGUGCCAGCCGCCGCGGUAA
RNAcentral lists this ribosomal RNA (504 nucleotides) under uncultured bacterium. RNAcentral describes it as "partial 16S ribosomal RNA". It matches the Rfam family "Bacterial small subunit ribosomal RNA", at positions 30 to 523 of the family's 1533-position model. The record is from RNAcentral.